CAGGCUGAUUCCUGCUGUACAAGGCAUAUAUCCCAAAAUGCUGUCCUGAGAUACAGAUCCUGUUUGACACAUCAAUGUUCGGCUUGUGCAAUAACUCUGGUGACCUAGGAGGAGUUUCUGCCCUAGGAAGAUGAGAUUGUCAUAUGCCAAGAUACUGACGCUAGCAGCCCUCUUGGCACAGUCUGAAGCCUUGGCUCCGCAUGAAGCCUGGAACAGUGCAAUAAAUCAACGUUUACAGAUGUCUCUGG
Mauremys reevesii (Reeves's turtle) is the source of this 248-nucleotide long non-coding RNA. RefSeq lists it as uncharacterized. The transcript is spliced from 3 exons. Lineage: Eukaryota; Metazoa; Chordata; Testudines; Geoemydidae. The record is from RefSeq and is a predicted model, not a curated record.